This 553-nucleotide ribosomal RNA is filed under the name Bifidobacterium longum. RNAcentral's name for it is "bacterial SSU rRNA". It matches the Rfam family "Bacterial small subunit ribosomal RNA", at positions 143 to 710 of the family's 1533-position model. The record is from RNAcentral. Lineage: Bacteria; Bacillati; Actinomycetota; Actinomycetes; Bifidobacteriales; Bifidobacteriaceae.
UUUUCUCCUGGAAAACGGGUGGUAAUGCCGGAUGCUCCAGUUGAUCGCAUGGUCUUCUGGGAAAGCUUUCGCGGUAUGGGAUGGGGUCGCGUCCUAUCAGCUUGACGGCGGGGUAACGGCCCACCGUGGCUUCGACGGGUAGCCGGCCUGAGAGGGCGACCGGCCACAUUGGGACUGAGAUACGGCCCAGACUCCUACGGGAGGCAGCAGUGGGGAAUAUUGCACAAUGGGCGCAAGCCUGAUGCAGCGACGCCGCGUGAGGGAUGGAGGCCUUCGGGUUGUAAACCUCUUUUAUCGGGGAGCAAGCGAGAGUGAGUUUACCCGUUGAAUAAGCACCGGCUAACUACGUGCCAGCAGCCGCGGUAAUACGUAGGGUGCAAGCGUUAUCCGGAAUUAUUGGGCGUAAAGGGCUCGUAGGCGGUUCGUCGCGUCCGGUGUGAAAGUCCAUCGCUUAACGGUGGAUCCGCGCCGGGUACGGGCGGGCUUGAGUGCGGUAGGGGAGACUGGAAUUCCCGGUGUAACGGUGGAAUGUGUAGAUAUCGGAAAGAACACC